This is a long non-coding RNA of Gasterosteus aculeatus aculeatus (three-spined stickleback), 1408 nucleotides long. The record is from Ensembl. NCBI's taxonomy places the organism in Eukaryota, Metazoa, Chordata, Actinopteri, Perciformes, Gasterosteidae.
GGGGUAAAGGAAAUUAAGAAUGCAAAGAUCGUACUACAGAAGCUGUUAAAUGUCUGCAUCUGCCCAUCACUCAUCCCCUGCGGUGUGUGUGUGGGUGCCUGUGUGUGUCUCGUACAUUAGUCACUGAGAGCUUCCUUAACGAGGUACUCUUAAUUGCCAAAGUGUUCUGGGAGUUACUGUUGCAGUCUUUCUCUCCCUCCACUUCCCCCUCUCCUACUCUCUCUUUCUCCUAGUGCUACGUUUUUCUUUUUCGCCCUCUCCGGAAACUUAUUUUUGUUUCAGGUGUUGAUCCUUUUCAGUCUUUGAGGUGUGUGUGUGUGUGUGUGUGCCUGAGCAUGACUCAGUGAGCAGAUGUGUUUGUGUGCUUGUGUGUAUAAAUUUCUUUGUGUGUGUAUAUAUAUAUAUGUCAACAAAUGAAAAAGCGUGUCUCCGUGAGUCAGAUGGCUGCACGAUGUCCUUGGUCUGGCUGGCUGGCGUUCAGGCUGUCUGGAGCAUCUCCUGAGGCUGCUGCAGGGAAUGUAACCCGGGUCACUGUACAGGAGCAGGAUAUGAAGUUGACUAUGGGGUUGGUGGUGGGAGACAGCGAGGCACAGAGAGAAAAAGAGAGGAGGGGUGUUGCCUCUGGGUUGAGCUGCAAGGGAGCUAGAGACAGACAGGUUGGAAUGUUUUAUUGUCUCCGAGGCAUCGCUCAGCUCUCCUGUCUCCUCUUCUCUCAUGCAGAGUUGUGCAAGACUCAUCCGUCAUAAAUGCAAGCUGUAUUUCACCAAUUAGCGAGUGAAUAAAUGGUGAACUUGUCACAGAUUGGCAUCUUUUGAACAUCUGUUCGUAGAGAAUGUUGUGUUUUGGGUCAGUUGUUGUUUAUUCUGGUUCCAUGUUAGAUAUUCAGGUAUUGUGUUUCCUGCUUCUCAUGCAUAAGAUCGAUGACUCCCUUGUCUCCCUACGGCCUUUGUUAUGAAGAUGGUCUGGCCCAGAUGUGUUUCACCUGUAUCCUCUUCAGUAUUUUGCCUGGGAAUACAGAAAUGGAAUUCACCCAUUUACUUUGUAUGCUUUGUUGUCAAUUAGUGUCAAUUGGGCUUUGGAGAUUUCUGUCCAAAUUAAAAACUUUUUUUUCAGUUUUUCAAAGCAUCAAUUGUUUUCAUGCAACACAAAUUCACAUUUUCAAACAUGUGCUGUAUUUACAUUUAUUUCUUGUUUUUUUGGCUCCAUUAUCUUCCAGCUAAUGAACUAAUUUGCAGUUUUUGUUCAAAAUAAGCUUUUUCUGGUUGGAAAUAUUACUUUCUCCAUUUACUUUAGUGUUCACAUGUUUCCAAAAAGAUAUAUAGUAUGUCACAUUUGUGUUUGUCAAACAAUUGUCCUUGACCUUCUCACUACAUUUGUGUGCAGAAACAUCUGGCAUGUAUAUUAUCCA